This 836-nucleotide ribosomal RNA is filed under the name Xanthoparmelia idahoensis. RNAcentral's name for it is "eukaryotic LSU rRNA". It matches the Rfam family "Eukaryotic large subunit ribosomal RNA", at positions 84 to 936 of the family's 3401-position model. The record is from RNAcentral. Lineage: Eukaryota; Fungi; Ascomycota; Lecanoromycetes; Lecanorales; Parmeliaceae.
UAAGGGCGAGUGAAGCGGCACAGCUCAAAUUUGAAAUCUGGCUCCUUCGGGGUCCGAAUUGUAAUUUGCAGAGAGUGCUUCGGGCGAGACCUCGGUCUAAGUCCAUUGGAACAUGGUGUCAUAGAGGGUGAGAAUCCCGUAUGCGACCGUGGCUCGAGCCCAUGUGAAGCCUCUUCGACGAGUCGAGUUGUUUGGGAAUGCAGCUCUAAAUGGGUGGUAAAUUUCAUCUAAAGCUAAAUACUGGCUGGAGACCGAUAGCGCACAAGUAGAGUGAUCGAAAGAUGAAAAGCACUUUGGAAAGAGAGUCAAACAGUACGUGAAAUUGUUGAAAGGGAAGCGCUUGCAACCAGACCUGCCCGUAGGCGAUCAGCCGCUGUUCUCAGCGGUGUACUCGCUCUGCGAUCAGGCCAGCAUCGGUUUCGGCGGUCGGAUAAAGGCCUUGGGAAUGUAGCUUCCCUUCGGGGGAGUCUUAUAGCCCUCGGUGUAAUGCGGCCAGCCGGGACCGAGGACCGCGCUUCGGCUAGGAUGCUGGCGUAAUGGUUGUAAGCGACCCGUCUUGAAACACGGACCAAGGAGUCUAACAUCUAUACUAGUGUUUGGGUGUCAAACCCAUACGCGGAAUGAAAGUGAACGGAGGUGAGAACCCUUAAGGGCGCAUCAUCGACCGAUCCAGAUGUCUUCGGAUGGAUUUGAGUAUGAGCAUAGCUGUUGGGACCCGAAAGAUGGUGAACUAUGCCUGAAUAGGGUGAAGCCAGAGGAAACUCUGGUGGAGGCUCGCAGCGGUUCUGACGUGCAAAUCGAUCGUCAAAUUUGGGUAUAGGGGCGAAAGACUAAUC